GAGAGAGAGAGAGUUCAUCUAUCCAUGCUGAUUUACUUUUAAUACAUAUGCACAAAACCUCAAGAAGAACCAGGAGUAUGAGGUAGCGAUUCAAACAAAAUGUCAGGCGAAACUCGUUCUAGCUUCUAUCUUGCAGGUUAUUGGGAUGAUCCAUAGUUUCAUCAAAAUGGGAGGAAAAAAAAAUGAAAAGAAAAAUGGUACUGAGUGGCUCAGCACCAUACGCUGAAUGUCUUCCAUCAGUGGAACGCAGUCUUGAACCUGCUUUUGGCCUGAAACAUGGUAAUGUAGCAUCUUUUGUAGCUUCUACCAACUCAAGAUUUUGCAUGUCUUUUGUUAUUCAUUCAACUGAACUAAAAACAUGUUCGAUUAAAAAGAAAAUAAGUAUCCAGGCAUGGGAUUGGCAAUAAAACUGAAAUCCUAUUUCUACAAUUUAGUCCAUGUACCAAGUAACCAAGUUUGUUAAAUAUUUGAAGUGUAAUUCUGUUUUUACUUUAAUUGCGGUACUUUAUAGAUUUAACAAUUCAUGACAUGUAGAUACAUUUAAGUGCACAUGUAUGCCUAUCAGAUGCUUCAGC
Molecule: long non-coding RNA, 575 nt
Filed under: Phoenix dactylifera (date palm)
Lineage: Eukaryota; Viridiplantae; Streptophyta; Magnoliopsida; Arecales; Arecaceae
Description: long non-coding RNA (PDAC_LNC021406)
Source: RNAcentral